RNAcentral lists this ribosomal RNA (692 nucleotides) under uncultured Bacteroidales bacterium. Its description in RNAcentral is "bacterial SSU rRNA". It matches the Rfam family "Bacterial small subunit ribosomal RNA", at positions 64 to 750 of the family's 1533-position model. The record is from RNAcentral. Lineage: Bacteria; Pseudomonadati; Bacteroidota; Bacteroidia; Bacteroidales.
AAACGACGGGGAAGCUUGCUUCCCCGGGCGUCGACCGGCGCACGGGUGAGUAACGCGUAUCCAACCUGCCUCUGACUGAGGGAUAACCCGUCGAAAGUCGGCCUAAUACCUCAUGGCAUCGUCUGCGGGCAUCCAACGACGAUUAAAGAUUUCAUCGGUCAGGGAUGGGGAUGCGUCUGAUUAGCUUGUUGGCGGGGUAACGGCCCACCAAGGCGACGAUCAGUAGGGGUUCUGAGAGGAAGGUCCCCCACAUUGGAACUGAGACACGGUCCAAACUCCUACGGGAGGCAGCAGUGAGGAAUAUUGGUCAAUGGGCGGAAGCCUGAACCAGCCAAGUAGCGUGCAGGAAGACGGCCCUAUGGGUUGUAAACUGCUUUUAUGCGGGGAUAAAGUGAGGGACGUGUCCUUCAUUGCAGGUACCGCAUGAAUAAGGACCGGCUAAUUCCGUGCCAGCAGCCGCGGUAAUACGGAAGGUCCGGGCGUUAUCCGGAUUUAUUGGGUUUAAAGGGAGCGUAGGCCGUGGAUUAAGCGUGUUGUGAAAUGCAGGUGCUCAACGUCUGCACUGCAGCGCGAACUGGUCCACUUGAGUGUGCGCAACGCAGGCGGAAUUCGUCGUGUAGCGGUGAAAUGCUUAGAUAUGACGAAGAACUCCGAUUGCGAAGGCAGCUUGCGGGAGCACAACUGACGCUGAA